UAGGAGUUCAUUAUGUAUUGUGUAUACAUGCUCACAUACAGGUCCCAGAUAAUAAUUAGGAAAACAAAUCAGGACCGAAACUCCAGAGAGUCAGAAAAGGAUAAGGGACCGAUGGCUGAAAGCUUGGGAAUCCUUGCAUCAUCCACAACUGGCUUACGACAAGAAAUCAAACAAGCGCAGUUUAAUAUGUCUUCCCAGUCAAUUCACAGAUAUUGCUGAGUGGAUGGGGUUGAGGGUGCAGCUUUUACAAGAUUGUGUAUACUAAGGGCAUUUAAUCACCGUCUGAAAUUGGCUGACCAUGGAACACCUAACCCGAAAAUAUGCAUAUCCCUUUCAGAGGGCAAAGAGGAGGAAGCAAGAACACAGAGGCACACAGGGAAGACCAGGUGAAGGCACAAGGAGAAGAUGAGCAUCUUCAAGCCAAGACAAGAGAUCUCAGAAGAAAACUGCCCUGCCAACUCCUUGAUCUCAGAUUUACAAUGCCCAGAGCUGGGAGAAAAUAAAUUUCUGUUGGGCACUUUUGAAGUGGCCUCCGAUGCGAAGGUGAGA
This 549-nucleotide long non-coding RNA is filed under the name Homo sapiens (human). RNAcentral's name for it is "long non-coding RNA NONHSAT200348.1". The record is from RNAcentral. Lineage: Eukaryota; Metazoa; Chordata; Mammalia; Primates; Hominidae.